AAAAAGAGUGAUCCGGUGGAGCUGUACCAGCCGUUACGCAAGUUGGUAGCUACAAAAUUCUCAGAGAGCGAUGCAGAGAAAGUUGAAAGCGUUCUGGAAACCCUAAACAAAUGUCGCAGUGACAUGGUGGAGCGAGGGGACCUCUCCCUUCCCAUGCAACGUGAUUGCCUCAUCCACUACUUCAAAUGCCUCUGCAUGGUUGAGCCACUCUUCACCGCUGACUCCGACGACUCCGACGGCAUCAUGUUUUUCUGGUACGACGCCUUCGACCCUGACUAUAUAUGUGUGGAUGGAGUCUCCUCCCAUAAGAGUAUCCAAUUGGAGAAGGCUGCUGUUCUCUACAACCUUGGCGCCAUAUACAGCCAGAUUGGAGCCUCUUGCGACCGCACCACCGCCCUUGGCCGUCACCUUGCAAUGGAUGCCUUCAAUGCCGCCGCCAAAUUCUUCUCGGAACUCUGGAAGGGUUUCGCCAAGGACAUCUCCGCCACCUUCGACUUGACUCUCCUCUUCACCGAGACGCUGCACCAGCUCUUCUCCGCUCAGGCUUCCGAGCUCAAAUUACAGCAACAACUCGACGACGACAAAAGCAACAACGACGCCAGUUCCGCUUUCCAAAAACAUCGAUGUGCCCAUUUGUUUAAAUCGGUCUGUCUUGACUCUUAACACUUACUGAUUUUGCAUUUAUUUUUUCACUUUGGAUUUUCAAUAGGAUGAUGUUGAUGAUGAAUUGAUGAUAAUGAUAUGACGUAGGUUUCUAAGCAUUAUGGGAGAGCAUAUGAUCUGAUACUAAGUGAUCCGGCUGCAACCAAACAUGUCUGCUUAUUUGACGAAACUUGGAUACCUCAUCUUCAUCAGAAGCAGAAAUUCUUUCGGGAAGAGGCUCGUCAGAGGAAAUCAUUCAUCCUACCGAAAGCCAAGCGACCCAAAACAUCCUCAUUGGUCCAAUCUUGUCAUCUUGAUCAUGAUGCAGAAUCCAUCACGGAAAAAUUAGUUAGAGGGAUUUGCAGCAACUCGGACCUGUGGACACCCAAGCAGCAACUAAUAUACCUUGACCUCCUCCUCUCCGAGAACAGCCCUUUCAAGAUUAUGGAUGGUGGAAAGCUGCUGGCUAACCCAUGGGACAUGCCUCCUCCUUAUCCAACAAAUUUUGCAGUCCUCUCUUCUUCGUCUUCGUCUUCGUCACGUCUUAUGGCAUUCCCUUUGAAGAAAUGUGAGCCCUUGAACCUCUACGAGUCCCUGCGCAAUUACUUUGUCCUCAAAUACUCUGAGAGCGAGGCAAACAGAGUAGAAGGCCUUUUCAAAAUGGUAGACGAAUUGUGCAGUGGAAUGCAGCGUGAUGACCUCUCUCUAUCUGGUCGCCGCGACUGCCUCAUCCUCUAUUUGAAAUGCCUUUGCAUGAUUGAGCCUUUGUUUCCCAUGACUAACUCACCCAAUCCACCUAUCUUUGUUUGGUACAAUGCAUUCAACCCACAAGAAGACUCUUCUCAGCACAACAUCCAUUUUGAGAAGGCCUCUGUUCUCUUCAACCUGGCAGCCCUCUCCAAACAAGUUGCUCUCUCCUGCGAUCUCACCACCAUCCAAGGCCAUCUCCUUGCCAAGGACGCCUUCAAUGAUGCUUCGCAUUGGUUUUUGAAACAGUCACAUGAGGCUGAGAAGGCAUCUGCCACCAUUGAAUUGUCAGUAAACUGUGCCAAGGUGCUGCGUCAGAUAAUAUACUGGAAUUUUCCUCAUUCCUGUUCUGUUCGAUCAUCAUCAUCUCCGGUAGGCGAUAAUAUGAACUAGCACAUGAAUCUAAAUUUAGUUCUUAAAAUUUCAAUUGUCUCUAUUUAAUUUCCAAACUUUACUAAGGAACUCAUGUUAGUCCUUGAAACAAUUUUGCUGUCUGACUUAGUUGUAAUUAGAGCUUUUGGCUUAAUUAUGCCAGGCUUUGCUCUAGUAACCAUAGGAUGCUGAUUUCUUGGUAAGGGAUUAGUAGAAGUAGGGGGAAGGGGAGUUGUGUUUCAAUUCUAGAAUUUGGAAUAGAAUUUGGAGACACUGAACUAGAUGUGGCCUCAGAAGAUAUGUCAGUAGUGUUAGUAUUGAAAUGAAGGUAUGAGGCAGUGUGUGAGGCUUCAUCAGAAUUAAUUGUAGAGUGAGGGUUAUUGGAGACUAAAUCUCUAUUAAUAAAAGGCAUAGAGUUAGUAAAAGAGGGAUAAGUGACAUAUUCAUGAACAUUUUGUUGAGAUAUUUGAGUUAGCAUUAGUGCAAAAUUUAGGAACGUUUUGAUAAAAAAAACAAUUGAUAAAUCAUCAUUAGAAGAUGUAUUAGGUAAAGAAAAUAAAGUAAUAAAGGAGAAAAUAUGUUCAUCAAAAAGCACAUUUCUAGAUAUAUAAACUUUACCAAAAGGGGAUAAGCACUUAUAUCCCUUAUAAUUUUGCCCAUAACCAAUAAAAAUGCAUUGAUGUGAUCUAUAAUUGAACUUAUUUUUGUUAUAUGGUCUCAAGUGUGGAUAACAGAAACUACCAAAGACCUUCAAAUGAUUAUAAUCUGGAGGUUGAUUAAACAAAUUCUCAAACGGUGACUUACCAUCCAAGAUAGUUGUAGGCAGUCUAUUAAUCAGAAAAGCUGAAGUUAAAACAGCCUCAUUCUAGUAAAUUAGAGGCAUUUUAGCAGUAGAAAGCAUAGCUAGAGCCAUUUCUGUGAGGUGGCAAUGCUUUCUCUUAGCCCUGCCAUUCUGUUCAUGAACAUAUGGGCAAGAGAAUCUAUGCUCUAUGCCAUGUUGUUGUAAAAAAGAUGUAAAAGCAUUUGAUAGGUAUUCCUUUCUAUUAUCUGCAAGUACUUCAUAGUAUAUCUUGUAAGGUUCUUAAUAUAUGCUUUAUAUUGCACAAAAGCGUGAAAAACUUCAGAUUUGGUAAGGUUUGGGGACUACAUAAAAGGAAUUGAAACUUCAUGAACUAAAUUAAUUCUAUCCUGUAUAUAUCAUCAUCUAGCUCUUCAGCUGAUUAUUUUAAUUGAUAUUAAUCUUGAUUUGUUAAAUUGUGUGAUUGGGAUGACGCAGGCUCCUUUGCUUUAUCAGAAAGCUUAUGAUAUGUCGACACUUGAGCCUUUAGCUGAGAAUCUUGUUCAUUCCUCGAUACCUCAAUAUCUGAAGAUGAAAACCUGCCCUGUUGUAACUGAUCCUGGUGAUAUCACUCAACAAUUUCUUUCAGGGUAUGGUAAGGCUAAAUCCCUGCUUGUAGGGGAAUGUCAACCACCAUGCUUGGACCUUCUCUCGGAGAUCAGCCCGGUCAACAUUAAGGAUGGGAAUCUUGUGGCCAAUGCAACCUUAGAGGCAGUAAGGUUGGCAUUGAAGGAGAUGAACUUGCAGGAGUCCAAACCACCACAAUAACAUUACCAUAGAGAAAAACUAUGUAAGCUUUAGGAAUCAACUUUUUUUUUUUUUCUUUUAAACUAAAUAAGCUUUAGGAACUAAUUACUCUUGUUCAAAACUAUUCCUUCAAAAUUUAUUGUUUCUAUCUACACAAUUUUUAUGAUGUACUGCAAGGUCCAUUGAUGAGUUCUGCUUUGUUCACUGCGGUUUUCUUACUUAACCAGGUUGAAGGUUCACUAAUCAUUUUGUAUUGUUGGUAAACUAUUCAUGAUUAAAUUAGUUUGAUGUCAUCUGGUAUAAAUUUCUUUUCUGAUGAUAUGUGUUUCUAUAAUAACUUAGAUAAUCCCAAAUUCAAAGUAAUAAAACAAAAAAAUAAUGAAUUUCUUCUCUGGUAUUGAAUAAUAAACAGUCACAUGAGGCUGAGAAGGCAUCUGCCUCUUCUAAUUUUUUGGGCUUCACCACUUUGUAUUUUGUAAAAACUUUGCCUGUGUCAACAUUUUUUCUAUGAAGGAGAUGAUGAUCAUGAGAUUAAUAAUGAUAUUGAUGUUACGUGGGAUCAAGAUUAUUCAUCCUGCUUUGUUCAAACCAUUUUUUUUUUUUUUGCUUUAAUUCAUUUCAGAAAAUUGUUCGGUUCAUAGUUUAGUCUUUAUGUAUAAUUGACAUGAGUUUCUUUCUUUUGUUGGCUUUUCAUUAGAAUAGUUAUUAACUACAUAUUUUCUUCUUUUACUCUUAUUAUUUAUUAUGUUUGUAAAGACUUACAUUUUAAGUUUUAACUUUUAACACAUGUUUUUAAUUUUAUUUAUAUAAUUUUAUAUAUUUUUUAAUUAUGAUCUUAACUAACGCUACUUUCCUGCCUGUGAUACUACACAGUCCUAACAACCAGAAAGCAUUUCAAAUUCAAGAUAAACAAUACUGACGUAAAUAACAAUACUGCCUAUUAUUAUUAGCUCUACGUUAAAACUCAAAUUUAGUUUACUAACAAAUGACCCAUGUUUUUUAUUAAUCUAAUAAAAGAAAAAUAUAUAUUCCAAAAUUUGCUUAUUGUUUUAGAUUUGAAAUUUGAAAUAAUCACAUACAUAGUGGUUCCAAUUUUCAUCGAUUUUCAACUUCCUGAUCAUAAACUGAAUCGCCGUCACCAUGGCCAAAAGCAACGACAUCACCAUGGCCACGAGCAAGGAGGAUGUGGGAUUGCUGAACCCGAACCCGAACCCGGACAAGAUGCUAUCAAUCCCACUGAAGAAGAGUGAUCCGGUGGAGCUGUACCAGCCGUUACGCAAGUUGGUAGCAACAAAAUACUCAGAGAGCGAUGCAGAGAAAGUUGAAAGCGUUCUGGAAACCCUAAACAAAUGUCGCAGUGACAUGGUGGAGCGAGGGGACCUCUCCCUUCCCAUGCAACGUGAUUGCCUCAUCCACUACUUCAAAUGCCUCUGCAUGGUUGAGCCACUCUUCACCGCUGACUCCGACGACUCCGACGGCAUCAUGUUUUUCUGGUACGACGCCUUCGACCCUGACUAUAUAUGU
Molecule: long non-coding RNA, 4870 nt
Filed under: Arachis ipaensis
Lineage: Eukaryota; Viridiplantae; Streptophyta; Magnoliopsida; Fabales; Fabaceae
Description: long non-coding RNA (AIPA_LNC000277)
Source: RNAcentral